CUUUGGAAUUGAUCACUGCGGGUUGAACAUCCUUUUGUAUUUUUUCUUGAAUGCUUUCAUCAACUAUCCCAAUUCUUACAGAUGGUAUGGUAGAUAAAAAGGAGAUGGCUUUAUCCACAGAUUCAUCUGUCAUUGUACAACAAAUGCAGAUGCUGCCAACCUCAACACUAGUGGACAUUCUGUCAAGUUCAUUUUCUGGAAUGCUUCUCAAGUUGUUAUCAAUUGUGUCUAAUGCAUCACUGGGAAGUGUUUGUUGCUGUAAGAUUUGAUCAGUGUCACCUUGGACAGUUGCAGGAUCAGGCAAUUUUGGCUGGACUUCUUCUUCUGGUGGACCUGUCAUUGUUUAUCUGAGAUUUUUCAACUGCUAAAGUAUUACUCUUUAUUGAUUUUGAUAAGCAUUGAAUCUCAAAAACAUAAAAUUUCAAAUUUCUGUUGUUUAGGGUUUAGGGUUCCAAGGCAAAAUGAAUCUCACUAAAAGUAAUGAAAUUUGUGAGUUUUGAGCACAUACAGUCUGUUGCUGAAUUUAGUAAUUUUAUUUUUGUCAUUUCUUCAA
This is a long non-coding RNA of Vigna angularis (adzuki bean), 553 nucleotides long. RefSeq lists it as uncharacterized. Lineage: Eukaryota; Viridiplantae; Streptophyta; Magnoliopsida; Fabales; Fabaceae. The transcript is spliced from 2 exons. The record is from RefSeq and is a predicted model, not a curated record.